RNAcentral lists this long non-coding RNA (562 nucleotides) under Equus asinus (donkey). RNAcentral describes it as "lncRNA (ENSEASG00005024281.1)". Lineage: Eukaryota; Metazoa; Chordata; Mammalia; Perissodactyla; Equidae. The record is from RNAcentral.
UAUUCUUCGUUGUGGGUCCUUCUAGUUGUGGCAUGUGGGAUGCUGCCUCAGCGUGGUUUGAUGAGCAGUGUCAUGUCCGCGCCCAGGAUUGGAACCAACGAAACACUGGGCCGCCUGCAGCGGAGCGCGCGAACUUAACCGCUCGGCCAUGGGGCCAGCCCCAAAAGUUGAGGAAACUGAGAAAUGUCAAAGCUGAGUGAGGACUUGUCCGUGGUCACAUGGCAGCAUUUGAACCCGGGUCCAGUUUACCAUCUUCCAACUCAAGUGCUUGUUCCACUCCUCCAAGCUGCCAGUUUGGCUACUAUAAGGGAAGACAACCCGAGGUAGCAGCUGCACAUGGAAAAGAUGAAAAUGAGAGAAAUGAAGAGUGACGUGGACAGAACUCAAUGAAACCUCUGGAUCAAACCAUGCCUGAAGUCCUGCAUUACUUCUGGAGUUUUCCAUUUCAUUAACCCAUAACUUUACUAUUGCUUAAGGCAAUUUGUGUUUGGUUUUCUGAAUUGCGACUAAAAUCAUCCCAACUAAUAUAUGUUGCUUAUAAUCUUCAUAAACUUUAUUUCUA